Salmonella enterica subsp. enterica serovar Typhimurium is the source of this 83-nucleotide small RNA. It matches the Rfam family "Nucleoid-associated noncoding RNA 4 (CssrE)". From Rfam's summary of the family: In E. coli small RNA transcribed from repeated extragenic palindromic element (REP325) called nucleoid-associated ncRNA 4 (nRNA4) collaborates HU protein in condensing the DNA. The record is from Rfam. Lineage: Bacteria; Pseudomonadati; Pseudomonadota; Gammaproteobacteria; Enterobacterales; Enterobacteriaceae.
GGCCGGAUAAGGCGUUUCCGCCGCCAUCCGGCAUUGGCGCCACAUGAUUGCCGGAUGGCGACGCUACCGCAUCUUAUCCGGCC